RNAcentral lists this ribosomal RNA (482 nucleotides) under uncultured bacterium. RNAcentral's name for it is "bacterial SSU rRNA". It matches the Rfam family "Bacterial small subunit ribosomal RNA", at positions 30 to 506 of the family's 1533-position model. The record is from RNAcentral.
UUGAACGCUGGCGGCAUGCUUUACACAUGCAAGUCGAACGGUAACAGGGUGCUUGCACCGCUGACGAGUGGCGAACGGGUGAGUAAUAUAUCGGAACGUACCUAGUAAUGGGGGAUAACUAUCCGAAAGGAUAGCUAAUACCGCAUACGCCCUGAGGGGGAAAGAGGGGGAUCGCAAGACCUCUCGUUAUUAGAGCGGCCGAUAUCAGAUUAGCUAGUUGGUGAGGUAAAGGCUCACCAAGGCAACGAUCUGUAGCGGGUCUUAGAGGACGAUCCGCCACACUGGAACUGAGACACGGUCCAGACUCCUACGGGAGGCAGCAGUGGGGAAUCUUGGACAAUGGGCGCAAGCCUGAUCCAGCAAUGCCGCGUGCGUGAAGAAGGCCUUCGGGUUGUAAAGCGCUUUUGUUCGGGAGGAAAUCCUAGUGGCUAAUAUCCAUUGGGGAUGACAGUACCGGAAGAAUAAGGACCGGCUAACUACGU